RNAcentral lists this unclassified non-coding RNA (406 nucleotides) under fungal sp. RNAcentral describes it as "partial internal transcribed spacer region". The stretch from base 1 to 46 matches the Rfam family "Eukaryotic small subunit ribosomal RNA", at positions 1786 to 1831 of the family's 1831-position model. Lineage: Eukaryota; Fungi. RNAcentral also lists the same sequence under 1 other name. The record is from RNAcentral.
AAGUCGUAACAAGGUUUCCGUAGGUGAACCUGCGGAAGGAUCAUUAUCAUAACGUAUCCACGUAUAAACUAACUCUUUGAUGUGAAACGUAACUGUUUAACACCUCAUGCGUAAUCAAAUGAUUGCUGUAUUACAACGUUUUUUUUUUUGCGUGAUUAAAGCAAAAAACACCGUAAUAUGGACCUGGCUUUCGGGCCUAGCUUUGGUUAUAUAUAUGAGUGUAAAUCAAUUUAAUCUUAUUAACCAAUUGAACCGAUUAACUAUUCGUAGUUAUUCAUUCUAAUUCUAUUGUGUGAACUGAAUUGUCAUUUACGCAUUUCUGUAAAAGGAAAAAGCGAAGUGAUUCUAUUUACGAAACAUUAUAAAUUUCUAUGAACAACUCUUAGCAACGGAUAUCUUGGUUCUC